CUUCAUCUUUCUCUUCUGAGUCUUCUUCUCUUUUCCUUUUAUUCUUUUUGUUUCUUCCUUCAUGCAGGCGAUUCUGACUCCAUGCCCGCAAGUUGCUGAGGACGAGUUUUUACCGCAACACAUUCACCUUAGGCAUAUUCUUCUUUUUUUCUUUUUUUUUUUCUUUCACGACAGCUUCGUAUCUAAUUUUUUUUAACCUUCCUUUUCUCUGCAAGUAUUUUCCGCUAUGGCUGAAGAAUUUGUGAAUGACUUUGUUCAUCAAAACGACAUCGUUGUCAUAACCCACAAUCUCCCCAAAGGUAUUUUCUUUUUCUUCUGAAUCUUCUUCUCUUUUCCUUCUAUUCUUUUUGUUUCUUCCUUCAUGCAGGCGAUUCCGGCUCUAUGUACCGCAACACAUUCACCUCAGGUAUUUCCUUCUUUUUUUCUUUUUUUUUUUCUUUCAUGACAGCUUCGUAUCUAAUUUUUUUUAACCUUCCUUUUCUCUGCGAGUAUUUUCCGCUAUGGCUGAAGAAUUUGUGAAUGGCUUUGUUCAUCAAAACGGCAUCGCUGUCAUAACCCAUAAUCCCCCCAAAGGUAUUUUCUUUUUCUUCUGAAUCUUCUUCUCUUUUCCUUUUAUUUUUUUUGUUUCUUCCUUCAUGCAGACGAUUCCGGCUCCAUGCCUGCAAGUUGCUGAGGACGAGUUUUUACCGCAACACAUUGACCUCAGGUAUUUCCUUUUUUUUUUCUUUUUUUUUUCUUUCACGACAGCUUCGUAUCUAAUUUUUUUUAACCUUCCUUUCCUCUGCGAGUAUUUUUCUCUAUGGCCGAAGAAUUUGUGAAUGGCUUUGUUCAUCAAAACGACAUCGCUGUCAUAACCCACAAUCCCCCCAAAGGUGAUGGGGAGAAAAAGACCAAAAUUUGGAUAAUAUUAGCUAUUGUGGUGGGGCUGAUCUGCCUUGGAAUCCAUAUAUUUCUGGUAUGGAGGUUUAAGAGAAAACCUAAAGCAAUUUCAUCAGUUUUUGGUUACAACAACAAUAGCGAAAAUACCAGUCUUUGAUCUAACGAGGAGUACAUACUUAUCAUAAAUUUCAGAAAGUAAAGGGGGGAGAAGAUCGCAGUGGCUAUGGCAUGGAGCUGAAGGAGGUUGGCGUUGUUCAUUAGUUCAGUCUGGAAGUUGAAAACGACAUCGUUAGAGACAAAGUGGGGACCACACGACACUGCGAAUUUCAUAAUCAAAAUCUUUUAUCCCGAUUUUAAUUUUAUUAAUUUAAUACUAAUAUUGUAUGCAAGUAAUUG
This is a long non-coding RNA of Glycine soja, 1275 nucleotides long. RefSeq lists it as uncharacterized. Lineage: Eukaryota; Viridiplantae; Streptophyta; Magnoliopsida; Fabales; Fabaceae. The record is from RefSeq and is a predicted model, not a curated record. The transcript is spliced from 4 exons.